UACGUAGGAGGCAAGCGUUGUCCGGAAUUACUGGGCGUAAAGCGUGCGCAGGCGGUUUUGUAAGUCUGUCGUGAAAUCCCCGGGCUUAACCUGGGAAUGGCGAUGGAGACUGCAAGGCUAGAGUUUGGCAGAGGGGGGUAGAAUUCCACGUGUAGCAGUGAAAUGCGUAGAGAUGUGGAGGAACACCGAUGGCGAAGGCAGCCCCCUGGGUCAAAACUGACGCUCAUGCACGAAAGCGUGGGGAGCAAGCAGG
RNAcentral lists this ribosomal RNA (253 nucleotides) under uncultured bacterium. RNAcentral describes it as "partial 16S ribosomal RNA". It matches the Rfam family "Bacterial small subunit ribosomal RNA", at positions 524 to 776 of the family's 1533-position model. The record is from RNAcentral.